This is a non-coding RNA of Sus scrofa (pig), 3801 nucleotides long. The record is from RefSeq and is a predicted model, not a curated record. NCBI's taxonomy places the organism in Eukaryota, Metazoa, Chordata, Mammalia, Artiodactyla, Suidae.
ACCCACUGAGCAAGGCCAGGGAUUGAACGCGCAUCCUCAUGGAUACUAGUAGGGUUUGUUAACUGCUGAGGCAUGAUGGGAACUCCUGGGCCUGAAAUUCUGACUUUGGAGUUUGAUUCCCUUGAGGUGACGUACUUCACCAAGUUAGGAAGCAAACCACCUGUGAGGGUUCCUUAUCACCUAAGUAUGACUUAAAUUAAUGGGAUUUCUCCAAAAUAACAGUAUGACAGAUCACAACACAGUCACAAAUGAUUUAUAUCUAUGUAUGUGUAUCCCUUUGCAAUGGAAUUUUCUGCCAUGCCACCCAUCAAAAAGUUGAGUUUAUUUCUCUAUCCUUUGAACUUGGGCUGGGACAGCUAGCUUCCUUUUAGCCAGUUAGAAAAUGUAGUCCAGAGUCUUGGAAGGUGCUUUCAAUUUUUCUUCUCCAGCUGCUGGGAAUCUUUCUGGCAUCCCAUAGAAAAACAUCCUGAAGGAUGAGAGACCACAUGAAAAAAGACUUUAAGCAUUCCUGUUGUCCUGGCUGGCUGUAGCCCAAAUGAACUGGCCUGAUCCAGAAGAGCUAGCUAGGCCACUCACAGAAUUGGGAGACAUUAGAAAUGGUUAAAUCAAAUUUUGUGGGGUUUUAUUAUGGGGCAAAAAGCAAUGAUUGAUAGAUCGAUAGAUAGACAGACAGAUAGAUAGAGUUGAGGUAGGUUGGGGAAGGAGGAGUGAAACAGAAAGGGAAAGGGAAGGAGCAAAGGCCUUGAUUAUAUUUGUGUAACUUGGGGGCCCUGGGUGCUUGGGCAGAGGCAGUGGAACCCCUCAGGAAAGUGAACUCCAGACAAGGCGGAAGGGGAUAUACUAAAACUAUACUUGACUCUUUCUCAUCGAUGAUCUUUUUAUAACUCCAGGAAAAAAAAAAAAAACAUUUAGAACAUGAGCAUUUCACCCAAAUGUCAGAGUUUUACUGUAAUUUGAACAAUCCAAAUGUAAUCUGACACUCCUGUUUACUUUUUGCUUUUUAUUUGAUAGUCCAGCAGAGAUGAAUCAUUUCUCAAUGGAUUCAAUGAGUUGCGUUUUGACCUAGAACUCUGAGUCUAAAUAUAGCCCUUAUCUGAAACUAGGAAACAUCAGAAGGGGAGGCUGACUCAAUUUGUUCUCUGUCAAACUCCUGCCACCUCAUUUUAACAUCCCACUGUGUUAAAGAACAGCAGACCCUGAGGUUCUGAUUCAGUAUCACAUCCUCAGUUGGAUAAUCCACUUUCUUCCUCCUCUGCCCUGUAUAUAAAAUUUUCUACCACUUAUGCAACGUGAAUAACCUACUCUGAGAUCUGGUUACUUGAAUGAUGUCUGUUUUGGAGAUCUUAAGCUUUCUGAGGGCAGGGACCUUAUCUUAUUCAUUCAGUUUUCCAUUGACUUAUUCAUCCAGGGAAGAAUGUUUAUUGCAGAGUGAUGCUUUAUUCCUGCUUUUAAGAAUCUGAUUGUCUAAACAGAGGAAAAAACAUAUAUCAAUUUUUUUAAAAUGUGUAAUGUUAAUAUUGAGUCUUUGCAAAGUGCUGUGUGAGCAGAGAAUUGCCUUGACUCCUCCUGCAUCUAUAUCCUAACUUGUAUUCCUGCUUCUACACCUGACUCCUUAAAGCCCAAUGUGCACUCAAUAACCAGAGGGAUUUAUUAAAAUAGAUUUUAUCAAUUCUCUGCUUUAAAAUUUCCAUUUAAACUUCUUACAGGCCUAACAAAUCCAGUGGGAUCUGUGGCCGCCUUGCUCUCUGCUGCUCCCUCAGUCAUGCUGGCUCCUUCAGCUCUUGGGAACCAGGCUUGCUCUCCAGCCUAGCGUCUUUGAACUAGUGGUUCUUGUCUCUGCAACUGGCUCCUUCUUGUCAUUCAGAGCUUAGCUCAGGUGGAUGGAUUCCUGACACCCAGUGUCAUAUGGCUUGCAUAACACUAAUUAAUUAGUGCCUCCUUCCAUCCCUUUCUCCCCUCUGCUUCCCUCCUUCUUUCCUGCCUGCCUUCCUUCCUUUCUCCCACUGACCUUCCUUUACUCUCUUACUUUUUUCCUUCCUUCUUUUCUUUCUUAACUUUGCUUCUUUCUCUGCAGUGGAAAGUUCAUCAGAACAGUGACCUUGUUCCCUCCCCGACCUUCCUGUAUCUGCCUCAUAAUAGGUGUUCGGUAAUAACUCUUUGAGUGUAUGAACAGAUGGAUAGAUUUCUGAAUGCUGCAAGUACUUUCUGGGUAGAAGAGGGGGAGAUAACUUUUCAGACAAAGAAAACAGCACCACAUUCAAAGACUCAAAAUAAAGAUCAAGUGCACUAGAUGCAUCAUAUUUUGUUGUGGCUGGACCAUAGGGUGUGAGGUGAGCUUGGAGAGAGCAGGGAAAUAAAAGGAGGUGAGAAGUGAAAGCUUAUAUAUAUAAAACACACAGAAAUGCAGACUUCUGCCACUUUCUGACAUUGCUGCCCUGCAGGAAGAGAGGGAAGUGGCCUUGACAAAAGAUACUGACAAAUUUGGUCUGCUGGAAUGACUCAGAAUUUUAACUUGACUAUUUUGUAGGCGUAUUUUUUUUUUUUUUUACAGUUUAAUGAAUGAGUUGGAAAUAUACUACUGAAUUGGCCAGAUAUGGGAAAUAUGUCUAUAAUCAUUUUGUGUCAUUUAUUCACUUGACUCUUACAACAAAUCAGGGUUAGCAGCAGUUUCAUUUAUAUUUUUCAUUUUUUGUUUUGAGCUUUAUUUAUUAUUUGUGAGGUUUAAAAACAGUUUGGGGAGACAGUGAAGAGGCUUUCCUUCACUUUGAUAACUUCCUCAUUUGUAAAACGGGACCAAUAACAAUGCUUAUCUCAAAGGGUAGUUGAAAAACUUAAAUGACUUAAGGCAUAUAGAGUGCUUUGAGCUGUCCUUGGCAUAACGACUAUUAGUCUUUAUCAUUAUCCUAAUCAUUUGCUGCUCUCAUAAGGAGAAACAUGAUGUAACUUUACAGAAGCAAUUUGACACUGGGUUCAAAAAUCUACUAUAAACGUGUUUACAUUUUGCUGGAGAGACAUACUUUGCCAUGCUGCAGUGUGAAGGCUUUGCUUGAUAAUGAUGAUUGUUAUCAUUUCUUGCAUGCUUUUAAAACAGGGUAUGAAUGAGGGCCACUCAAUUGAAUUGUGUCAAGUCUAUUGUUCUCAUGUUUAAGAACAAUGCAAAGGCCAGCAUAUACCAGGGAGAUCCUGGGUAAAGGUGAAAAGAGAAUCUUGGCAGAAACAGUGUUCUCUAGGAUGAAGAAAGCAUGCUUUCCUGGCAGCGGGGUCCUGGCAUUUUAAUCCAUUUAGUGAGCAUAUUGCUGUGGCCCAGUCUCUGUCUGUGGCUCUAGCCCUUCUCAUCAAGAUUCUAGAAUCCUUGUGGCCUGUGGUUCUUCUGCUCAGCUGGUCGUGAAGUCAGGAAGGAAGGGUGGAUCCGCUUGAGAUUUCCUGUCUUGCUGUGAGUCACUGAUACCAAGCACUUUUCUUGCACUUCUCUGUCUGCUAUCCGGAGAGCAGGAAUGCGGCCACAGACGUCAAACCGGAACCACCCUCUGCCUCAUGAUAACGGCUCUCACCAUGAAGAAGAUGAUGACUCAUGAGAAAGAAAGUCCUCCUGUACCACUUCCAUGGCCUGGAAAGGAGACUCAUUUUGAAGAUGGAAGGCAAAAUUUCCAAUUCUGACUCUGCUGGGAAAGACUGUAAGCCCACCUCACAGCUACUUCCCCUCCAAUCCCUGCCUGCCUGCAUUGCAAACAAACUGAAUUUGAAUAUGGUGUUUUGAGAUUCCUGUAAGUAAAUGCCUUGUAAAUAAAAAGUUUAAAGUAA